RNAcentral lists this ribosomal RNA (461 nucleotides) under uncultured bacterium. RNAcentral's name for it is "bacterial SSU rRNA". It matches the Rfam family "Bacterial small subunit ribosomal RNA", at positions 30 to 487 of the family's 1533-position model. The record is from RNAcentral.
AUUGAACGCUGGCGGCAUGCCUUACACAUGCAAGUCGAACGGCAGCACGGGAGCAAUCCUGGUGGCGAGUGGCGAACGGGUGAGUAAUAUAUCGGAACGUGCCCAGUCGUGGGGAUAACGUAGCGAAAGCUACGCUAAUACCGCAUACGAUCUAUGGAUGAAAGCGGGGGAUCGCAAGACCUCGCGCGAUUGGAGCGGCCGAUAUCAGAUUAGGUAGUUGGUGAGGUAAAGGCUCACCAAGCCGACGAUCUGUAGCUGGUCUGAGAGGACGACCAGCCACACUGGGACUGAGACACGGCCCAGACUCCUACGGGAGGCAGCAGUGGGGAAUUUUGGACAAUGGGCGCAAGCCUGAUCCAGCAAUGCCGCGUGCAGGAUGAAGGCCUUCGGUUGUAACUGCUUUGUACGGUAACGAAAGGUUACUCUUAAUAACGUAGGAGCUCAUGACGGUACCGUAAGAA